Molecule: ribosomal RNA, 351 nt
Filed under: uncultured bacterium
Lineage: Bacteria
Description: partial 16S ribosomal RNA
Rfam family: Bacterial small subunit ribosomal RNA
Source: RNAcentral
CCUACGGGAGACAGCAGUAGGGAAUAUUGCUCAAUGGGGGAAACCCUGAAGCAGCAACGCCGCGUGGAGGAUGAAGGUUUUCGGAUUUUAAACUCCUUUUUUUAGAGAAGAUAAUGACGGUAUCUAACGAAUAAGCACCGUCUAACUCCGUGCCAGCAGCCGCGGUAAUACGGAGGGUGCAAGCGUUACUCGGAAUCACUGGGCGUAAAGAGCGCGUAGGCGGGAUAGCAAGUCAGAUGUGAAAUCCUACGGCUUAACCAUAGAAUUGCAUUUGAAACUGUUAUUCUAGAGUAUGGGAGAGGUAGGUGGAAUUCUUGGUGUAGGGGUAAAAUGCGUAGAGAUCAAGAGGAA